Molecule: non-coding RNA, 69 nt
Organism: Trichonephila clavata
Lineage: Eukaryota; Metazoa; Arthropoda; Arachnida; Araneae; Nephilidae
Source: the annotation of a GenBank genome assembly
CAGUAGCGCAUUAGAUAGUGCGUUGGACUUCUAAUCCAAAGGUCGGGGGUUCGAAUGCUACCAGCAUGG